Molecule: long non-coding RNA, 677 nt
Organism: Salvia miltiorrhiza (redroot sage)
Lineage: Eukaryota; Viridiplantae; Streptophyta; Magnoliopsida; Lamiales; Lamiaceae
Exons: 3
Source: RefSeq, a predicted model, not a curated record
UAUUUAUUUAAGCAAACACGAGCUAUUUAUUUAAGCAAACACUGAACGAUUAUUACAGUUUUCAUAAUACAACCCGGAAGACCUUAUUUUAUAUUACUCUCCCACCUACUUCCUUCCACCUACUCCCUCUCACACCCACCUACUCCCUUCUUUUUGCAAACUUAAUAUAGCUGGUUGAUCCGAGCUUCCAUUUUCUAUCCUCCACAAUCAUCCCACACAUUUCAUCUCCCUCAUCAAUUUUCAGCACAUCAGCUACUGAACAAAUUCAGAAGAUUUGCAGAAUGAUAACCCAACAGAUUUCUUUUGAAGGCUUUGUGAUGACAAGGGGAUUAGCACUGCUUUCCCAAGACAGGUUAUGUGAUUAUGAUCUUCAGGCUUUGCCUAUCCAGGUUGAGCAGUUGAUGGAAUGGAAUGAUGUUGAGCGGGUGUUCCUUUGACAUUUCAAGAAAUGUAACCUUGAGUAUACAUCUUCAUAUGUAUAUCUCACACGUUUUCCGCUGCAAAACACUUUGAUUAGGAUAACUUAUGUUAUGAAUUGUGGACACGUGUUAUUGGGUAACCCACCUUAAUCAGUUCUCAUUUAUGUGUAUGUUUUAUAAGUAUCCAAAUGAUCAUAUAUGAUCCUAGCAUUUUAUCUAUGAGUGACAUUUCCAUAUACUUUAAUGUUAAGUAAUUGU